ACUUUUAGUGACCCCAUGAACUGCAGCCUACCAGGCUCCUCCGUCCCUGGGAUUUUCCAGGCAAGAGUACUGGAAUGGGUUGCCAUUCUUCACACCCUGACUCCCAUGCAUCUUUAACCAGCCCACUGUCCUCUCUCAUCUGAUGAUGAAAUGACCUCUGAAGGGAUUCCCCACUGCUGUCUCUUCCCAAAAAUGAGCUGAAGCAUCGUCUUGGAACAGAGAACAUGCCACUUGCAGCUGAAAGCUGCACGGUUGUUCCGUGUCACCCUGGGAGAUUCCAGGUGCCUGCACAUGAACAUGGGCCCUGAGGCUUCCAUGGUCCAUCCAUCCUCCUUCAUCUCCCUCUGUGCUUCCGCCUACAACCACUGGCAUGGCUUAUCUUCCCAGCCCUGGGGCUAUGGCACUGGCUGCUCCCCUGCCUUGAAUCCUUUCCCACAAGUGUUACUUCUGGAGAGACCCUGCCCCAUCAUCCUCCACCACACCCCACCCUCUGUUCACACUGAUCCAAGGCCCUUUUCCUGGACUGGUUUUCCUCAUAGCACCAGCCCCUGUCUGGUAUUAAGCACAUGUUGCCCCAGAAGGUGGUUCUAUUUGAGGGCAUGGAGCCCAGUCUGGUACAGAGUAGAAACUCACAUGACAAUGAACUGAAACAGUGACUGACUGCAAAUCAGUGUACACGUGUCAUUUAGAAAUGUGGAGGAAAUGAGGAAGAAACCGCUAAAGGUGAGAGAGCUGGUAGGUGCUAGAAAAUUUGCUUUUGGCCUCUAAGCCUUUCAGCAGAAGGUGAUGUCAUAUAUUUUUUGCAUAAAAUAUUAAAAAUUAGAACAAAAAAUUUUAAUAUAAUUUUUUCCCUAAAAGUCACAUGAUACAAAUCAAUUUCUGAGGCAUUUUAAUUGAGACUUGACUGACUUUACACUGGAUUGUACUGUGCUUCAGAGCCAGACCAGGGAAGCUCCCUAGGAUGGGGUGGAGUGCUUGAAGAGCAGUAGCGCUCACCUCUUCUGGCAGUGAGCUCAUUCUUCCACCUGUUGCCACACUUGAUGCCAAGCUCCUGGCUGUACUUGUCCCCGUAACAGACCAGCAGCUUGCAGCCCGGCCUGACCACCUGGCAGGUUCAGAAGAAGAUCUGCCUGUGAUUCAGGAAGGGUACCAGGUUCUGCUCCUUGUCCCAGGCACAGUUCACAUAAGUGGGGUUGAGGCCAGGAAAGGGGAAGAAACCACAAGUGAUGAGUCCCCUCCACCUGUCAGACCCAAUCCCAGCUCCUGGCCUUCACUCUCUGAGGCCACCACAGACCACACCACCCCUCCUGGGGACUUCCUGUUCACACUUUUGACCACACCAUGUGAAUUCCUAUUUCCAGUCCUCUUCCUGGCUGGAACGCUUUUCUCUCCUUACCUAAUUAGCCAUUUUCCAGAGCCCAGUUCCACAUUUGUCUCCACCUGGACUGACCUUAGUAAGACUGGUGAGGUCUAGCUCCUCUGAACUCAAAGUUCUCAUUCCACAGAACUUGGUAUUUCUAGGCCUAGCACGCACUCCUUAGCACUCACCCCAGCCUGAAUUCUCGUCCAAGGCCUUUCUCCAGUCUCCCCACUUGUAUCCAGGGGUCCCAUUCACUUGCUGACCCCUUCCCGUGGAAACUUGGAGAGUGCUCUGACUUAGCUCAAGACACAGAAUAGUAAUAUUCACUUUCUGCCUCCCCUGAUGAAAGGCCCUCAGAGAAAGGUCCUGACCCCCAUUCCUUCCCAGGCCUCAGGGCCCACUUCUCACUGGAGCUUAGCCUGGGGAGGUUGCUGCCCUCAUGGGCUCAAGGUCCCUCAGGUUAUCCUGGUACAAUUCUUCAAAAGUAGAAAAAUUAAGGUUACAUAUUCCUAAAACCAGUUGGUUAAUUUCUAUCUGAAGUAUGUCCUCCAAAAGGACACGGGUUGUGUGAUCUGCUUCAGUAAUGAAUUCUACUGUCUAAACUGGAACACAGAAAGUGGUUGGUAAGGGUCAGUUAGGUGAGUUAAAGUGUCCCUGGUGAACCUACACUCCUCAAGUUGUUUUCAAGUACCCCAGUUUUGUUGAGCAUAGAGACUUACAUUUUGAGGGCAUAUACUACAUUUUUAUUUCUUUCAUUCUAUUGUCUUUUGAAAUGAAAGAACGUAGUAUGACGGAAAAAGAGGAAAGAUGUGAAAUCUAUUGAAGGAGGCUGGUUGAGAAGGAAAGGGGUGUGGGCUUGAGGGAGGAGCGACCUUUAUAACUUGCAGACUCACUGGACUCAUCUCAUUUAGUUGGCCCAAGAUGUGUCCUUUCCAUCCACAUACUCAUAGCAGUUUCUCCCUUUGGUGAUCUGAGUGCCAAAAAAAGUGUUAUAAACUUCUCUUUUUCUUUUUUGGUGGGAGGUAAUAGAAGAGUUAUUUCCCUCUGCUAUCAUCAGUGCUCUUCAGCCUGCAUGAAUUCAAUUGCCAGUCGUGACCACGUGGUAAGCUCCUUAAUCAUCACCUCCAUGUCUGAGUCUGUUGGUGCACUCAGGGCAAGGACUCCACACGGGAGGAGCCACUUCUGUGUGCCUGUGCCACUGUGCUUCCACCUCUCCUCUGGUCUUUAGAUAGAAGUCCUGUGUUGAUGCACAGUGCACAAAGUAUACAGGGCUGACCAUGUUAUCCUCAUCCACGUCCUCACAUGUAGACGUGAGGUCCCCCGCUACAUGCACAAGUGAUUGGAGGUCAGAGGACAGGGAAAGAGGGAUGUUCUCACCAGCCAGGAGUAUCCACUGUUGGCAGCCUCUUCAUCUGUAAUCUGGCCCUUGUAGAGGCAAAGUGCAGGCCCAGCGGCAGAUCAGACACCUCGUUCCACACUCCAAGCCCAGCCUCAGGGAUACCUGAUGGUCUGAUACCUAACCCAGAAGGAAGACUGAGGGCUGAGCGAUUGGCAUGCACCUUUUCCACUGCUGAGUCAUUUACAAAGGUUGGGAGCUCAUGAACAGCACAGCUGUCAGUGAAGUUCUAACACUUCUUACAAUCUGGAGGCGAGAGCAACGGGGAUGAGGGGAGGUAUAGUGAUGUUGCUGGUCAUAAAGAACUUCAGAAUGAACCGGGGUGCUCACGGCAUUUGGCCUUGAUCCUGUACCCCAAAUCAUAGAGGAAAGGGAUGAUUGGGGGACCAAAUGGUGAGGUUAUAUUAUUGUGCCAAGGCCUCAUAACCCCUUCUCCGUGAAUGGGCCCAUGGGGUCACUCAUAUAGGUAGUCGUCAUCCUGGGGCUCGCUGACCUCUUGGUACACAUGGCUCGCUCUUUCUCGUAGGCUGUACAUCUUCACUUCAGUCUCCUUUCGAAUGGGCCCGUGGGGUUACUCACAGAGGUAGUCGUCAUAUCCUGGAGCUCGCUGACCUCUUGGUACACAUGGCUCGCUCUUUCUCGUAGGCUGUACAUCUUCACUUCAGUCUCCUUUCUUCUGAGUUCUGAGUUGGAGAAGAGAAGCUGAGCAAGGCUGGUGGGGUCUGGAGAGUUAGAUCCUGUUUGAUCAGAAACUGUGAUUUCACCCACCUGUUGAUCUAUAUACUUUGUUAAAAAUUUUUUUGCAUUUAUUUUUAAAAAAUUUUAUUUAUGUAUUUUUAUUCGUUAAUGUUACAUUAUUUAUUGGCCGCACUGCAUGGCGUGUGGAAUCUUAGUUCCCUGACCCAGAAUGGAACCCAGCAUCCUGCAGUGGAAGCACAGAGUCUUAACCACUUAACCACCAGGAAAGUCGCUUCUCUGUACUUUGUUUUUCCUCCCUUUAACUAUUGGUUCAGAGAGACUGACGCUACACACUGACUAAAGAUGCCCAGUUUAAUGUUAGCAUCCUGUACUUCCUAUUAGUAGGUUUAAUUUCCCAACCUUAUUAUUUAGAAGAUAGUUCACGGACACAUCUACUCAGAAAAUAUAUGUUGAGGGCACAUUACAGAUAAGGCAUUGUGCAGAAGCCUGGGCAUAAACACGAACAAAGCAUAGCCCUAUUAUCACAGCUGGACUUACUGAACAACUUCAAUGUGUCAACACUUUUAUAUUUAAUUUAAUGCUUUCAAACACUUUACAGUGUGUUUGAAAGCAAUAAGAAGAUUGCUUAUCUUCACUUUACAGAUGAGCAAUCAGAACCUCAGAAAAUUUGUAAGAUUUUCCUUUCCAAAGGCCACAGUGCUAAACCAGAUCAGUCCAGCUUAAACCCACACCUACCGAAAGUCUACCCUACAUACCUGGGCCAUAGUUGUUAGCCUUUCCAGAGGAAUUAGUGGAAGUGAAAUACCCAAAUUAUUUCCUCUUACCCACUUUUUGUCUGGGGUGCUGUUCAGAGGUACUUGCUUCUCUGGGAGGGGGCACUGGUAUCUGGGCCUGCUUGGGGCCACUUGUCUUCAGCAAUUUUGCUGCUCCUGGCAAUUCCUUCUAGUCUAGGUUCGUUUCUUACUAGUGCCCUGGACAUUCCCUUCUGUGUGAGAGUCACAUAGUAAAAAAGAACAUACAUUUCUUUAGUUCUUUAGGACUUUAUGAAGUGUUUUCCCAAGCAUGAUUUUAGUUAAUACUUUGACAAUUCUUGGAAAUAUCCAGUGUUGCAGGCGGAGGAGGAGCGGAGAGGAGGUCUGAACACUGGAGUGUAAAUAAAGUGGGUAGUGAAUCAAAGCUAGAACUCAUAUCUUAAGGUUCUUUCCCUUCAACUUUCUCCAUAAAAGUGAGAGCAAGGCAGGGAGAAUAGCUGGAGAAUCAACAAGGUCAGGAAAGAAGAGGGUAGGGGCUCAGAGAAAACUGGGGUGGGGGGUGGGGUUUCUAUUAAAUAGUGCCCUUUGAUGAAUCCUCAUUCAUCAAAGGAAAACUACUACUCAGUGUGGAAAACUACUGAGGGGAAAAAACACAUCUGGAAAAUGAGGUGACAAAGCAGUGAGAUUGGGAAGACAAAAGACGACUGGCAGAAACAUACAUAGACAAAGAAAAUAAGCUGAAGCUUGCAGAUUGCUAUGUUCUAGAGACAAUGUUUGGAAUUAAAGUAGCUGGUCCCAUCAAUUCUGCUUGAAUAAGGUUGUACAACUAGCUGGUUUUCCUGAGUUUGCUGAUCCAUAAAUUGGUAUACAUAAUAAUUCUUAAAUGUUAUAGUGGACAUGAAACUUAAUAGCAUUCAACAAAAUGUUCUGUUAUAGCCACGCCUUCUGGGAAAGAAACUCACUCAGAAGGACAAUGCAGAUAAUGGAGUGCAGUUUAUUACACUGGCGCCCAAGGCAGAGUCUCCUCUUAGCCAAGGACCCCGACCAGCACUUGGCCUCAGAUGGAGUCCAGGCCCUAUGAAUUCGUCUUCACUGUGAGCUAUUUAAUACAGUAUGAAUGUGAGAGUCCAUCUCUACUAUCAAUUUACCCCCUCAGCUGUCUGUAUUUGAAGUUGGGCUCACAGAUACUAUCUUCAGCAUUCCCAGGAUUCCUUGACCUUCUUCCUACUAGGUGAAUGUUUAAAUGUGGAUUCACUCAUUCAGAAAACAUUCAGGGGGCCCUCAGGGGCUGUUAGCUGGGACUGAGCUUCUAAGAAUUAACAGAUAUAGGCUAGGCUCUCAAAGCUCACGGUACAGGGGCAGGCUAAACAAAUUAUUCUGUUAGGUAGUUAGAAUAGGAAAAAGGAGUCCAGAAUGGCGGUGACUAAAAGACACGGAAGGGAAAAGCCCCUGAAAACAGAACAAACGAAGGUCCAAGGACUGGAGUGAGGACCUCAGGUAGAACAAACAACACCCCUGGCUAGCCCAAUUUACAUAGGGUAAGCUCAGGGGGAGGAAACACCAUGUAAAAAGAGGAGCCAAAGGGUUGGGGGUCUCUCUCUCCCCCAAGCGCUCGUUCUCUCUCUUUUCUUCGGUCUUUGGGUUGGCAUGCCCUCACGCCUCGAGGAUGUAUUUUCCUCUUAUUUUCUAAAUAAAACUGAGCUGUGACAUAGAGCUAUAAUGCUGAUGUGUCCAAGAACUAUAACACGGUCUGUUCGAGACCUGAGAGGUAUAACAUGGUCUGUCUGAGAGCUGUUAAAUGCCGAGGCCUUAAUGUCAAUCGCUUCAAAUUUUUGUUGAGAUGAGACAGAACCAAGUCUCCUUGGUAAUCUCUUACACUCCCCUGACAUUUAUGGUGCUGUGACUUGGGUUUAAUCUGGCUGAAACAACCUGAGCGCAGUCCCCUUCAAGGAGGAGGCCAAGCACAGCAGGAGCCCAACUUGGUGAAAGCUCCUGAGGUAGAAGCGGAAUGCGAAGAAAACCCAGCGCAGGGGAAGUGACAAGAGGCCCAUCGUGCUGGAAACUGGGACAGGGAAAAACGAACUCAGCAGAAAGCUCACGCGACUCAGUCUCCGAUUCCAGAAGACCUCCAGUUAAGGUAGGAGGUCCUCGCUCCUAUGGCCGGAGGGACACAUGCCUAACAAAAUCUUAAUUCCUUUACAGUCUCAACCUCCUGGAAACAGGUGGGUGGCAGUGGGUGCAGUUGAGGGACUCUGGAGAGGCUACUCUUUGGUAUGUCCCAAAGGCACUACCUGCUGAGCCCCAGUAGCUAUUACCCAAGCCAGUGGGGGUUCUUCUGUCCUUAAUCUUCUUUGUGCCAAGGAUCAGGCCAAUGAAAGCUGGGAGCACAGGUCAGCUAUUUAGCAGAUUUUCCGGCAGGGUAUGAAGGGGAUUCCUUGGCACAUUUUCCCCACUGCUUUUUCCUCCUGUCCUUUAGCUCUCUCUCCCGGAACUCAGAACCCAGCGAAAACCCAGGAUGCCUGACUUCAGGACCUAAUGAAACUCAGGCUCUGAUGUCUCAUUGCAAACAUUCUCUCACAUUGCAAACACUGUGAGAGACACAGUGACAGGUAAGAGGUGGAUUUGUUAGGAUCCAGAGAGAAGCACACUGCAGGGUGUGGGCUAUUGCAGAGGGCUCUGGACAGGAAUGAGGCCUGGCUAGGUUUUGCCAGCUGAGUUAAUUAAUAUGCUAAUGAGUGGGAGGAUCAUCCCAGCCAUUGGGGAACCACCCACUCCUCUGUCUUUUGACAGUGACUUGGAGCUGGGUGUGUCAUUUAGCUUACAGAUUGGGGAUAAAGGUUUACUUGAAUUUUACUUGUCAUCUUGGACCCAGUUGAUUUUAAUCAGUUUAUGUUAUGCCCUUGUGCUAUGUCAUUCUUUCAAAGGUUGUGCCCUGCCCCCUUCCCUCCUAUUUCAUACUUUUUUCCUGAGGCCCAUUCAGGCCCACAAAGUGCCUCUAUAACCUUCUGGAGGGACAACUAGAAAAUAGCUAGCUCUUGGGAGGGAAAUACUGUAUAAUAUCCAAUCCUUCUAGAUAUUCAGCACUUCAUCUUCCAUGUUUCCUACAUGUGCAACAUCAGCGUCUCUCAGUGAACCUACUGGGGUGAGAGACAGGCACACAAUGCCUGCUAGAAGUUCAUCAGUUGGCAUCCCUUCAAAGGCAAUUGGGUUUCCAGGGAUAAUGUUUGCCACUUUGGGAGUUAGCCUUGCAAGCUGUUUGGGCCCAAACCCUUACCACCCUUCUCCUAAAGUUAUAAACAUACCCCCGGAUCAAAUCUCUACUCCACUUUUAUGGAACAUCUGGUAUGUUGCCUCUUAACAAAUUUGUUCUUAAGCCAAUUACUAACUCCUACAAUCAAGACCCUGCCCCUUGUAGGCAACCUUGCCCCCUUGUUGCUCCACCUAGUCUAUUAUUAAAACACCUUAAUGCCCCUAACAGGGCCAGAUAACCCACUCCUUUGUCAUUACUUCUUUUAUUACGUAAAGUGGGUCUAUGACAACAAUGCUUACCAGGGGAGACACCCUAAACUGCUCUUAUGGAGGACUAAGGGAAGAAAUCAAUGACUUAAAUCCCUUAGAGUAGUAACAGGAUAAGGCUUAUGACUGUUUCACUGUUUCCCAGUCUCAGGACAUAGGCUUGGAUUGCUUUACAUCAUGAUACCUAUUCCCAUCUGAACAAAAUGAGUUAAAAUUACAACCCCUUAAUUCUACCCAGCACUGGUCAUGCUGGAGACCUUGGGGACGCCCAACUUCAGUCCGGGGGUCCCAGGAGGUCAACCUGCCUUGACCUGCCUAGGGAUCUGGUCCUCGAAAGAUUGUCACGCCUCAACCUGCUUUUGUUCCGCCAGUCCAGGGGUCCCAGGAGGUUGUCACACCUUGAUCUGCCCAGGGACCCAAUUCUCGGGAGGCCAACCUGCCUUGACCUGCCUGGGGAUUCAAUCUCCAGGAGACUGUCAUGCCUCAGCCUGCCUGGGGAUCUGCACCCUGACCUGGGGACGCCUGGCUGUCAGGUUGCCACAGUUCUGGCACUGAAGCGGCCCGCUCCAGCCAGCCCACCUGUCAUAGAUGACCAUCACAGGGCUAGAGCCAAGGGUGCAACUGGAUGUGGCAGGUAGGUCCGAGAAUUUCUUGGUUGACAUGGCAGCUACCUACUCUGUCUUGAUCUCCUACUCCAGAGCCUUCUCCUCCCAAACCUGUACCAUUUUGGGUGCUACAGGAAAAACAACUACUAAAAGAGUCAACUGAGCACUUCUUUGUUGCUGGGAUGGACAAAUAUUUUCCCACCAGUUUCUGGUGGUCCCUUAGUGCACUACUCCUUUAUUGGGAAGAGAGAUACUCACUAAACUGGAGACCACCCUUGUGAUGGGAAGCUUUUCAGCCUCUAGAGCCCUACAGCUUCUGGUUACUACUGAAGAACCCAUUACACCCUCUCCAAUAGAGAGGGACAAAAAACUAUGAGAGGACAAAAUUAACUCCCAGGUGGGGGACAAGGGGACUCCUGGAUGAGCCCACCAAGCUGAACCGGUUAUCAUUGUCCUCCAAGAUCUCACUCGGUUUCCCAACUGGAAACAAUAUUCCCUCAGAAGAGAGGCUCGGGAGGGACUACAGUCUUUAACAAAUAAAUUCCUUGCUUGUGGGUUAUUGGUACCCACCAAUUUGCCAUGUAACACUCCAGUCCUCUCAGUAAAGAAGAAGGGUGGAACCUGGCGAAUGGUUCAAGAUCUCCCAAUCAUAAAUGAAGCUGUAGUCCCCCUCCGUCGCACAGUAUCCACUCCCUGUGUAAUCUUGGGAGAAAUCCCACCCAGUGCCAAGUGGUUUACAGUCUUAGAUCUCAAAGAUGCAUUUUUUUUUGCAUACCACUGGCUAAAGAAGCCAAAUAUCUUUUUGCCUUUGAGUGAGAGGCCCCAGGAGAAAAAACGCCAACAGAUAACUUGGACAGUAUUACCUCAGGCGUUCAGAGAUAGCUCCCACCUGUUUGGACAGGCCCUUAGCCGGGGUCUCCUAGAUCUGGACCUGGGACCUCAUGGGAAAAUACUACAACACGUAAAUGAUCUACUAAUCUGCUCUCCAGAUGAGAAAAAUGCCCAACAACAUGCAAUUCAGGUUUUAAACUUUUUGGCAGAGGAUAUAAAAUCUCCCAUGCUAAGGCACAGAUGGUCAAGACAAAGGUCGCUUACCUGGGAGUUCAGAUUACACAGGGGUCCAGGAGGCUGUCCUCUGAUCGGGUACAAGGAAUCCUCCAGUUGCCCUCCCCCACAACUCGAAAUCAAUUGCAAUCUUUCCUGGGGCUAACUGGAUAUUGUAGAAUCUGGAUACCCAACUAUGGUCUAAUUGCCCAGCUUAAAGGGACAGGAUGAUUCAAUCCCACUUAUGUGGGGAACUCCUCAAAAGAAGGCAGAGGCUACACUAAAAGAAGCCUUAACUCAGGCACCUGCCUUGAGGUUGCCAGACCCAGAAAAAGCAUUCCAACUUUAUGUCCAUGAAAGAAAGGGAAUAUCCUUGGGAGUGUUAACUCGAAGGUUGGGAUCUGAGCCCCAGCCUGUAGCUUGCUUAUCCAAGAGGCUCGACCCAACUGCUUGAGGCUGGCCCCCCUGCCUUCGAAAUCUUGUAGCUAUUGCAAUCCUGAUAGAAGAUGCUUUGAAACUCUCUUUUGGGGGCAAACUAUUUUUACCAGCCACCAAGUGAAACAGCUCCUAAAUAGGAGAGGCCAUUAUGGAUGUUUGAUCAAAGAAUUCUCAGAUAUCAAGUAGUGCUAAUGGAAAAUCCAGGUCUCACUAUAUCCCCUUGUGAGGUUCUUAACCCAGCCACCCUCCUGCCUACCCCAGAGGGCUCUCUCCGCUUUUACUCUUGUCUAGAAACCUUGGAUCACUGGACAAAACCCCGAGAGGGAUUGUUAGAAGAUCCUCUGAUCAAUCCUGAGGAAAUCCGGUUCACUGAUGGAAGCAGCUUUGUCUUGGAUGGAAAAAGAAGAGUCGGAUAUGCAGAAGUCUCCAGUUUUGAUACCAUAGAGGCUAAGCCUCUGCCACCAGGUCAACAAGCUACAACAUGCAGUGCCAGUUCAACAAAGAUAC
Odocoileus virginianus texanus is the source of this 10317-nucleotide non-coding RNA. NCBI's taxonomy places the organism in Eukaryota, Metazoa, Chordata, Mammalia, Artiodactyla, Cervidae. The record is from RefSeq and is a predicted model, not a curated record.